Molecule: long non-coding RNA, 550 nt
Organism: Salvia splendens (bonfire salvia)
Lineage: Eukaryota; Viridiplantae; Streptophyta; Magnoliopsida; Lamiales; Lamiaceae
Exons: 2
Source: RefSeq, a predicted model, not a curated record
AGGGAGCGAGUCUCUAUUCAAGCAAGUGUACACAGAGGGGAUCGUGCGCUAGCUUUCUAGUUGGCCGGUCCAGUGAUCGAAAAUGUGGUACUACAACCUAGCCAUGUGGAUUGUUAACCCCAAAGGUGAAGCAGCAUAGAUUGGACAUUGACGAAGCGGUCGAUGAUGUUAUUCCAAUUGCGAUUGCGCACAAAUUCCGGGAGAGAUUGGCUGAGCAAAGGGCCAAGACGAGUACCGCUCAUGAAGAGGCAGAUCAAAGGAAACCGAGGGGGAAGAAAGUCGACCAUCUCUAUUGUCAACGGACCCCAUCUGAGUUCCUUAAUUGGUUAAAAAGCCUAACUCCACGGCAGAAGAAAGCCGUUCGAGAACUGGGUUUCGGAACUAUCAUGCAUUUCAAUAUAAAUGAAAUUCUGGGAUACCUAGCCUCCUGGGUUCUAAACACAUUUAAUCUGGCCGACUUGUGGCUUGGUAUGUUUUGAACAAUAUGUAAUGUGCUUCUUGCAAACAGAAUCAUAUUUUGGUAUUAGUGUAUGAUUUCAUCAACGCAAAA